AUUGAACGCUGGCGGCACGCUUUACACAUGCAAGUCGAACGGCAGCACAGGGAGCUUGCUCCUGGGUGGCGAGUGGCGAACGGGUGAGUAAUGUAUCGGAACGUGCCUGGUAGUGGGGGAUAACUACUCGAAAGAGUGGCUAAUACCGCAUGAGAUCUUUGGAUGAAAGCGGGGGACCUUCGGGCCUCGUGCUACUGGAGCGGCCGAUAUCAGAUUAGGUUGUUGGUGGGGUAAAGGCCUACCAAGCCUGCGAUCUGUAGCUGGUCUGAGAGGACGACCAGCCACACUGGGACUGAGACACGGCCCAGACUCCUACGGGAGGCAGCAGUGGGGAAUUUUGGACAAUGGGCGCAAGCCUGAUCCAGCAAUGCCGCGUGCAGGACGAAGGCCUUCGGGUUGUAAACUGCUUUUGUACAGAACGAAAAGUCUCUGGCUAAUAUCUAGAGAUCAUGACGGUACUGUAAGAAUAAGCACCGGCUAACUACGUG
Molecule: ribosomal RNA, 488 nt
Filed under: uncultured bacterium
Lineage: Bacteria
Description: partial 16S ribosomal RNA
Rfam family: Bacterial small subunit ribosomal RNA
Source: RNAcentral